UACAUUCUAUGCGUAUACCAAACUUGGGUC
This 30-nucleotide non-coding RNA is filed under the name Mus musculus (house mouse). Lineage: Eukaryota; Metazoa; Chordata; Mammalia; Rodentia; Muridae. The record is from RNAcentral.